AUCGCCUACGGGAGGCAGCAGUGGGGAAUAUUGCACAAUGGGGGGGACCCUGAUGCAGCGACGCCGCGUGAAGGAAGAAGUAUCUCGGUAUGUAAACUUCUAUCAGCAGGGAAGAAAGAGGACGGUACCUGACUAAGAAGCCCCGGCUAACUACGUGCCAGCAGCCGCGGUAAUACGUAGGGGGCAAGCGUUAUCCGGAUUUACUGGGUGUAAAGGGAGCGUAGACGGCUGUGCAAGUCUGAAGUGAAAUGCCGGGGCCCAACCCCGGAACUGCUUUGGAAACUGUACAGCUAGAGUGCAGGAGG
This 305-nucleotide ribosomal RNA is filed under the name uncultured bacterium. Its description in RNAcentral is "bacterial SSU rRNA". It matches the Rfam family "Bacterial small subunit ribosomal RNA", at positions 334 to 655 of the family's 1533-position model. The record is from RNAcentral.